This 398-nucleotide ribosomal RNA is filed under the name uncultured bacterium. Its description in RNAcentral is "bacterial SSU rRNA". It matches the Rfam family "Bacterial small subunit ribosomal RNA", at positions 355 to 766 of the family's 1533-position model. The record is from RNAcentral.
UGGGGAAUAUUGGACAAUGGGCGCAAGCCUGAUCCAGCCAUGCCGCGUGAGUGAUGAAGGCCCUAGGGUUGUAAAGCUCUUUCAACGGUGAAGAUAAUGACGGUAACCGUAGAAGAAGCCCCGGCUAACUUCGUGCCAGCAGCCGCGGUAAUACGAAGGGGGACUAGCGUUGUUCGGAUUUACUGGGCGUAAAGCGCACGUAGGCGGAUCGUUAAGUGAGGGGCUGAAAUCCCAGGGCUCAACCCUGGAAACUGCCUUUCAUACUGGCGAUCUGGAGUUCGAGAGAGGUGAGUGGAAUUCCGAGUGUAGAGGUGAAAUUUCGUAGAUAUUCGGAGGAACACCAGUGGCGAAGGCGGCUCACUGGCUCGAUACUGACGCUGAGGUGCGAAAGCGUGGGG